Molecule: transfer RNA, 26 nt
Filed under: Crocodylus niloticus (Nile crocodile)
Lineage: Eukaryota; Metazoa; Chordata; Crocodylia; Crocodylidae
Also listed under: 3 other names
Description: partial tRNA-Trp
Source: RNAcentral
AAGAAAUUAGGUUCAAUCUUCAAGCC